GUGCUCGCUUCGGCAGCACAUAUACUAAAAAUGGAAUGAUGCAGAGAAGAUUGGCAUGGCUUUUGCACAAGGAUGACAUGCAAAUUCGUGAAGCGUUCCAUAUUAAA
Molecule: small nuclear RNA, 107 nt
Organism: Suncus etruscus (white-toothed pygmy shrew)
Lineage: Eukaryota; Metazoa; Chordata; Mammalia; Eulipotyphla; Soricidae
Source: RefSeq, a predicted model, not a curated record